This 239-nucleotide ribosomal RNA is filed under the name uncultured Planctomycetales bacterium. Its description in RNAcentral is "partial 16S ribosomal RNA". It matches the Rfam family "Bacterial small subunit ribosomal RNA", at positions 431 to 661 of the family's 1533-position model. The record is from RNAcentral. Lineage: Bacteria; Pseudomonadati; Planctomycetota; Planctomycetia; Planctomycetales.
GAUUGUCGGGAGUUAAGAAAUGCAAGGGUGUAAAUAGCAUCCUUGCUUGACCAAGGCUCCAGAGGAAGCCACGGCUAACUCUGUGCCAGCAGCCGCGGUAAUACAGAGGUGGCAAGCGUUGUUCGGAAUUAUUGGGCGUAAAGAGCACGUAGGCGGCUCUGCAAGUCAGCUGUGAAAGCCUUCUGCUUAACGGAAGAACAGCAGUUGAUACUACAGGGCUUGAGUGCGGGAGGGGAGAG